Molecule: long non-coding RNA, 341 nt
Organism: Alexandromys fortis (reed vole)
Lineage: Eukaryota; Metazoa; Chordata; Mammalia; Rodentia; Cricetidae
Exons: 3
Source: RefSeq, a predicted model, not a curated record
UGUAGAGGUGGCUUGCAGUUGGUGCUCUACACUCCUGGACAGAACAAGGCAGCUGGAUCAGCAGUAGCCUCUGCUUUGUUUGCAUUUAAUGACUGUCUUUGAAGGGGCUGUCCUAGCAACCCAGAUGUCAAUAGUCAAAAGAAAGAAAUGGAAGAGAAACAACAAUAUCUACUUUGAGUCAGCCACGGGAAAUUAGCAUAUUGUAACGAGAAGCCAGGAACUUACCUUCAGUGGCUCCAUCUUCUGGACAUGAAGCAGUUCUGCCACAAAACCUAUCUGCUCCACAGCCGCGUCCACCAUCUCUCUGCAGUUGAGGGAGUGCCGUAUCUUCUUCCUCUGAG